CCUAAAUGUCCAUUAAAAAUAAAUGAUAUUACACUUGGAAAAUUUUAUGAAAAAUUAAAUUAGUGGUACCUAAUGUAAAUAGCAAAAAUUGGGAGUUAAAUGUGGGAAAAUGAAACUUUAGAAUAAAAAAACAAUUAACCUUCACAUAGUGCUCCACUAACUCACUUAAGUGGACCACUAAAGCUUCAUUUGGGCAGAAUAUUUUCAUCUUUUUCAACCUUCCCAAAGGGCAGCCGAAACCAAGAAUGAAAUUACUCCAUGGCCGCAUGGGUUGAAGCUUCAUGCAAGCUUCAUCCCUUCAUCUCCAGGCCAAUUUUCUUACCUUUUCCUUCACUAAAAUUAUUCUACACCACUUGGACAGUAGAUAGGCAGCAAGGAGAUCAAGUUUUGGUGAGGUUUUGAAGAGUUUCCUAAGUGGUAAGUAUGUGUUUUUUAUUAUUGCUUCAUUAAAGUUUGUGAGGAUGUUAUGGGUACUUGAAUUGUGGAAAGAAUUUUGGAGUUUGAUGUUCUAAGGGAGAUGUUUAUUUUUGGCUGCCAUGGAAACUCCUUAAGGGCAGUUUAUUCUUGUAUGUAAAUGGUAGAUUAAAGUGUUGAUGAAGUGUUUGUAUGUGUAGGAAUAAAUUUAGUGAUGUAUAUUAGAUGUAUGUGAAUGUACACUUAAUUUUGGAAGCUUGGAAAUUAAUCCAAGGAGAGGUAUGAAUCGGCAGCCUGAAUUGUGGACCAAAAAUAUGUUGCUUUAUGGUUUGGUUUAUGGAAUAUUAUGGUUGAAUUAUGGUACUUGUUGUGGCAGCUUAUACAUGUGUAUAAGGGUUUGAGUUUGGACUUGUGAAUGAGCUUGGUUAUGUAGUUAAAUUGUUGUAAUUUAGACUUGAUAAAUUCUGUACUAUAAAGAGCAUAUUGAGUGUGGUCAUAAACUGCCAAAAUGACCAACAAUGUGAAGUAAAAUGUGUUUAGGUUAUGGUACAAAACAGAAAUGGCAUGAAUGUGUAACUUGGUAAUGUUAAAUGUGUCCUUUGAUGAGUGAUGAACAAAAUGCAAUAGGGCAGUUUAUGUUUUGGGCUUGGAACCUUAAGUUUGUGGCUCCAAUUGGUACCCCAAUUGGUAUGAGACCAAUUGGA
RNAcentral lists this unclassified non-coding RNA (1118 nucleotides) under Hevea brasiliensis (rubber tree). Lineage: Eukaryota; Viridiplantae; Streptophyta; Magnoliopsida; Malpighiales; Euphorbiaceae. The record is from RNAcentral.